Coregonus clupeaformis (lake whitefish) is the source of this 462-nucleotide long non-coding RNA. RefSeq lists it as uncharacterized. Lineage: Eukaryota; Metazoa; Chordata; Actinopteri; Salmoniformes; Salmonidae. The record is from RefSeq and is a predicted model, not a curated record. The transcript has 4 exons.
GAAAAGAUCAGCCAAGUUUGUUAUCAAACUCUGGUCCACGCACAUGCAACGGAUAUGCACUGCAAACUGCACGUACAUCCAACACAUGCGCAUAGACCAGAGCUAGUCGUCUACUAUGCAUACCUUCAUAUACAGUCAUUGAUGCAUUCAGAGAAAGAUUUGCCUGCAAUAUAGCAACAACUUUACUUUGUGUGUGUGGUCUCCUCUGCGCGGUCACCGUCCACACAGCACAGUUGACACCAAGACAAGGACUUCCGACGUCGCUGGCAGUCUUCAUGCCCGAUUCUCCCAUGACCUCCCCACUGAAGUGAGUGUGACCUGUGUACUGGGCACUAGAAGAGAGGCAGUAACACUGAAUCAGAUCCAUGUGACAAGCACAGGGAAGGCAUCCAGGCUCUGCAGGGACUGCCGGGCUUUGGGAUGCCCCUCAUGGAGAGACACGUUUAGGGAGAAGACUACGGG